This 997-nucleotide long non-coding RNA is filed under the name Lactuca sativa (garden lettuce). RNAcentral's name for it is "long non-coding RNA (LSAT_LNC001494)". The record is from RNAcentral. Lineage: Eukaryota; Viridiplantae; Streptophyta; Magnoliopsida; Asterales; Asteraceae.
UUCAGUCUCUCUUUGGGUGAAUUGGUGCCGCUUGCCGGAAAAUAAUAAGCAACACAAAAAAUUCAUGAAGGAGUUGAUCGACUGGUAUGCGCUCUUUCCUGUCUCUCCUUAUAAUCUUAAUAUUCUUAAGUUUACGACAACCAUCAUUUUUUCCUUUGAUCUUUAUUGUUUUACCCAUAAGACAACCCUUAAUUAAGAAUUAGGAUGUAUAUUACUUUAUUCUUGAUUUUCCUUUUCAAAGUGACGAUUGUUUGUUACUGUUGAUUAAAAAAAUAUGAUAAGGUUGUGGGUUUGGACUAUUUGAAGAAAUUAAAAAAUAAGAAUUUAGAAGUUGUUGCACGACAACAUGUGUUUGAUUAUAUUAGAAUAAUCAUGUAUAUACCUUUCUUCUAGUUUUUUUGGACAAAUUAAAUGAUUUAUUUGGUAAAUGAAGGAUUUUUCGAUCAUGAUUAUAAACAUUUAUAAGUAAGGUAGACUUUUUCUUUCAUAAAUUUGGGCAAUCUUGAGUUCUUGACUGUGUUAACAUUUUUUGCGGUUGCUUUUGAAGUGGACCAGGUCCAUGCUCAUUUAGUUUGUUGUUGACCUUUAACCCUACAAUCGUAUAGAGGAGUGCAAAUUUAUUUUUGUUGUUGCCAUACACUGACACUGGUUUGGUGUGAUUGAUUCAAAACAGGACAAAUACAAUCUAGAGAGGAGGAUCAAACAUGUAAGUCAUUAUGGAAAAAUGAUUGAGUUAUAUUAUCCAAAUUAUAAAAAAAGGUGGAACCAACAUCAAUGAAAAAAUUAUUCCUCAAGAAUAUUUGUAUCUUCAAGAAUGACUCUUUAUUCAAAAAGAUGAGGAUUGAACCUAUGGAUGGAAGAGGAAAGAGAGAUUAAUUUUUUUCUUAUUAAUUUUAUGUCGUAUUCUUUGAGAAUGUUUUUUUUUUCAAAAAUACUAAAUGAUUCUUAAAAAAUGUAGACCUUAUGUACAUCAAGAGUGCUCUAUUUGUAAUUCUUA